GUGUCAGCAGCCGCGGUAAUACGUAGGGGGCAAGCGUUGUCCGGAAUCAUUGGGCGUAAAGAGCGUGUAGGCGGUCCGGUCAGUCGGUUGUGAAAGUCAAGGGCUCAACCCUUGAAUGCCGGCCGAUACUGCCGGGCUAGAGUCCGGAAGAGGUGAGUGGAAUUCCUGGUGUAGCGGUGAAAUGCGCAGAUAUCAGGAGGAACACCGAUGGCGAAGGCAGCUCACUGGGACGGUACUGACGCUGAGACGCGAAAGCGUGGGGAGCAAACAGGAUUAGAUACCCUGGUAGUCC
This 292-nucleotide ribosomal RNA is filed under the name uncultured bacterium. RNAcentral's name for it is "partial 16S ribosomal RNA". It matches the Rfam family "Bacterial small subunit ribosomal RNA", at positions 505 to 796 of the family's 1533-position model. The record is from RNAcentral.